Non-coding RNA from Cavia porcellus (domestic guinea pig), 330 nucleotides. The record is from the annotation of a RefSeq genome assembly. Lineage: Eukaryota; Metazoa; Chordata; Mammalia; Rodentia; Caviidae.
AUGGAGCUGGCGCUGAACUGGGUUUUGCUACUUGCAAUUUUAAAAGGUGUCCUGUGUGAGGAGCAGCUGGUGGAGUCCGGGGGAGGCUUGGCUCCAGGGAAGGGGCUGGAGUGGAUCGCAGGCAUCAGUAGCAGUAGUAGUUACAUAGACUACGCAGACUCCGUAAAGGGCCGAUUCACCAUCUCCAGGGACAACGGCAAGAACAUGCUGUAUCUGCAGAUGAGCAGCCUGAGAACCGAGGACACGGCCAUGUAUUACUACUGUGCUAGACACACAGUGAGACAAUGUCGCUGUGAGCCCAGACACAAACGUCCCUGCAGGGGCCCUUAG